RNAcentral lists this ribosomal RNA (278 nucleotides) under uncultured prokaryote. Its description in RNAcentral is "partial 16S ribosomal RNA". It matches the Rfam family "Bacterial small subunit ribosomal RNA", at positions 524 to 801 of the family's 1533-position model. The record is from RNAcentral.
UACGGAGGGGCUAGCGUUGUUCGGAAUUACUGGGCGUAAAGCGCACGUAGGCGGCUUUGUAAGUUAGAGGUGAAAGCCUGGAGCUUAACUCCAGAACUGCCUUUAAGACUGCAUCGCUUGAAUCCGGGAGAGGUGAGUGGAAUUCCGAGUGUAGAGGUGAAAUUCGUAGAUAUUCGGAAGAACACCAGUGGCGAAGGCGGCUCACUGGACCGGUAUUGACGCUGAGGUGCGAAAGCGUGGGGAGCAAAACAGGAUUAGAUACCCCGGUAGUCCCUGAG